GAUGAACGCUGGCGGCGUGCCUAAUACAUGCAAGUCGAGCGAAUGGAUUGAGAGCUUGCUCUUAUGAAGUUAGCGGCGGACGGGUGAGUAACACGUGGGUAACCUGCCCAUAAGACUGGGAUAACUCCGGGAAGCCGGGGCUAAUACCGGAUAACAUUUUGAACCGCAUGGUUCGAAAUUGAAAGGCGGCUUCGGCUGUCACUUAUGGAUGGACCCGCGUCGCAUCUAGCUAGUUGGUGAGGUAACGGCUCACCAAGGCAACGAUGCGUAGCCGACCUGAGAGGGGGAUCGGCCAGACUGGGACUGAGAAACGGCCCAGACUCCUACGGGAGGCAGCAGUAGGGAAUCUUCCGCAAUGGACGAAAGUCUGACGGAGCAACGCCGUGUGAGUGAUGAAGGCUUUCGGGUCGUAAAACUCUGUUGUUAGGGAAGAACAAGUGCUAGUUGAAUAAGCUGGCACCUUGACGGUACCUAACCAGAAAGCCACGGCUAACUACGUGCCAGCCGCCGCCGUAA
RNAcentral lists this ribosomal RNA (516 nucleotides) under uncultured bacterium. RNAcentral's name for it is "partial 16S ribosomal RNA". It matches the Rfam family "Bacterial small subunit ribosomal RNA", at positions 28 to 523 of the family's 1533-position model. The record is from RNAcentral.